Ornithorhynchus anatinus (platypus) is the source of this 138-nucleotide non-coding RNA. Lineage: Eukaryota; Metazoa; Chordata; Mammalia; Monotremata; Ornithorhynchidae. The record is from Rfam.
GCUUUUUCAGGGUCCUAUCUGGAGAGUUUCCAGUACUCUACCCGUCUUGGCUACGGGAGGAAGAGUCAAGCAGAGGCCUACCCAUUUCAUUCCUAGCUUGGGCAGUGGCUAGCGAGUGGAAGGGAAUCUGCUACAAGU